RNAcentral lists this non-coding RNA (74 nucleotides) under Paenibacillus barengoltzii J12. Lineage: Bacteria; Bacillati; Bacillota; Bacilli; Caryophanales; Paenibacillaceae. The record is from RNAcentral.
GAGAGCCGUAUGAGGGAAAACCUCACGUACGGUUUGAUGAGGAGGGGCAGAAAUUAUCUGCCCUUUACUCUAGU